Molecule: non-coding RNA, 74 nt
Organism: Trichonephila inaurata madagascariensis
Lineage: Eukaryota; Metazoa; Arthropoda; Arachnida; Araneae; Nephilidae
Source: the annotation of a GenBank genome assembly
GGGGGUAUAGCUACGCGUGGUAGAGCAAUCGACUGCAGAAUGAGAUAUCCACGGUUCAAAUCCGGGUGUCCUCU